GGCUCCAUAGUGUGAUGGUUAGCACAUCUGCUUUACACGCAGAAGGUCCUGGGUUUGCACCCCAGGUGGAGCCA
This 74-nucleotide transfer RNA is filed under the name Pteropus alecto (black flying fox). It matches the Rfam family "tRNA". Rfam says of the family: Transfer RNA (tRNA) molecules are approximately 80 nucleotides in length. Their secondary structure includes four short double-helical elements and three loops (D, anti-codon, and T loops). Lineage: Eukaryota; Metazoa; Chordata; Mammalia; Chiroptera; Pteropodidae. RNAcentral also lists the same sequence under 1 other name. The record is from Rfam by way of RNAcentral.